AGCGGCGGACGGGUGAGUCACGCGUGAGCAAUCUGUCUCUUCCAGGGGGAUAACGCAUCGAAAGAGGUGCUAAUACCGCAUAAGACCACGACAAGGACAUCUUGAUGAGGUCAAAGGAGCAAUUCGGUAAGAGGUGAGCUCGCGUCUGAUUAGCUAGUUGGUGAGGUAAUGGCCCACCAAGGCAACGAUCAGUAGCCGACCUGAGAGGGUGAUCGGCCACACUGGAACUGAGACACGGUCCAGACUCCUACGGGAGGCAGCAGUGGGGAAUAUUGGGCAAUGGGCGAAAGCCUGACCCAGCAACGCCGCGUGAAGGAAGAAGGUUUUCGGAUCGUAAACUUCUAUCCUUGGUGAAGAUAAUGACGGUAGCCGAGAAGGAAGCCCCGGCUAACUACGUGCCAGCAGCCGCGGUAAUACGUAGGGGGCAAGCGUUGUCCGGAAUGAUUGGGCGUAAAGGGCGCGUAGGCGGCCAGCUAAGUCUGAAGUGAAAGUCCUGCUUUUAAGGUGGGAAUUGCUUUGGAAACUGGAUGGCUUGAGUGCAGGAGAGGUUAGUGGAAUUCCCGGUGUAGCGGUGAAAUGCGUAGAGAUCGGGAGGAACACCAGUGGCGAA
RNAcentral lists this ribosomal RNA (610 nucleotides) under uncultured bacterium. RNAcentral's name for it is "bacterial SSU rRNA". It matches the Rfam family "Bacterial small subunit ribosomal RNA", at positions 94 to 719 of the family's 1533-position model. The record is from RNAcentral.